Molecule: long non-coding RNA, 2091 nt
Organism: Canis lupus familiaris (dog)
Lineage: Eukaryota; Metazoa; Chordata; Mammalia; Carnivora; Canidae
Exons: 2
Source: RefSeq, a predicted model, not a curated record
CGGACAGAGAGGCAGGGCCUGGGGGAGCCGAGCCCAGCCCCGGUGCCCCCCGGCCCCGGCGCCCAUCCAGGGAGGCUGCAGGGACUGGGCCCCGGCCAGAGCACGCCGUGAUCACGGACGCAGACCGGGCUGGGUUCAAGGAUGGGAGACCCGGAGGACGGUCCCCGGGAACACGGAGGCUUUCGGAUUUGGGGGCGUAGAGGGUGACAGGGCUCACGAGAGAGACUAUGAGUCAAGUCCAAGAAUCUUUAUUUCAUGAACAAAACUACUUGUGUGAAGAGAGAAGAGGCUGAAUGGGCCCUUCUAAGUGGCCACAGUCCAAGGCUGGUGAGAGAGGGCAGGGUUGGGCUGGGGCAAGAGUGCAUCACAGGGAGGGGGACCCCAGGUCCAGCCAGAGGAAGGAGGGCAAAUGUUGCUGGGGGUCGGAGUAGGUCCCAGAACCCCCUGCCCCAAACUGUGCCAGCCCAUCACGACCCCUGCCGGGCAGGGGAGGGGGGCAGGGGGAGGCUGGGCCCCAGUAGUGUGCAUCUGAAGCGGCCGAUGUGUGCAAAUCAGCAAGAAGGAGGGGUGCGGAGCCGCUGCCCCCACCUCACCGCCCCCCUCCUGAACAGGCAGCAGAAGCAGGGGCGGGGGCAGCGGCAAUAUUGCUUUACCCAUCAUGCAUGGCGUGGGUGGGCAAUGGGGCAGGAGGAAGUAGGCCGGAUUGGGGGUGUGAGCCAAGCCCCCUGCCCCCUCCCACCCAGGUGGUUCCGCUGGCAGGACUCUGAGGCUCGUAGAGGCCCAAGAAUGGCCAACCCCCAUUGGGGGCAGGCCGUGCCCAGAUGUUCCCCAUUAGGGCUGGCUCUUCCUUGAGAUGGAGCCCAGGGCCUAAAGAUGAGGGAGAGACAGGUAUCAGGGACCCAGUGGGCUGACACCCGCCCAGGCCCUCCGGCGCUGCCCACCCACCUCCUUACCAGGGCUAUUCGGCCACCUGGACACCCGUACAGUUCUCCUUGCUUUCUGAGGUGAUGGCCAGGUAUUCCGAGCUGUGGGGGCAAAGGCCGGGUGUACAGUGACCCUCCUCAGCAGUCUGGCCCACCCCCAGGAACCUGAGCAGGGCUGGGGUCUCUGCCCCAGACGCAUGGCGUUCUGGAGUUAGAGAGAGGAGGGGACUGCAGGCCGGACUCCUAGGGAUCCACAAGAAGUCCAGGCUGGGGCCUGGAGCCCUGAGUGUGAGGGAGGAGGGGACUGGGAGGGGGGUCAGACUCUGGGUCCUAACCUUACCCACCCAGGAUAACAAACAUAGCCCUCUGGGGAGCCUGGGUGUCUAGGUCACCUGACCCCCUCCCCACCGACCCCACUCACGCGUUCUCUUGUGCAGCAGCCUCCGUGGCCGCAGCGAUCUUCUUGUAGCAGUAAACCAUCUCUGCCACGAGCCAUAUGGUCAACACCACGAUGAGCACAUACAUCAUGAUCUCCGACACGAUGGACGCCAUGUCUCUGUUGGCUGCAAGGGCCAGGCAGGGUUAGGUGGCAAUCGGGGCCAGGGGCAGGCGGCGUGAAGUGCCCCGAACUUGCUUGGCCGAGUGGCCUGGCCUCUCUGGGCCUGGUCUGUCUGUGAAUAGGACCAUGCUGCUUCCCCAGAGUCAUUGGGUUGUUACUGUGAUUCUUUUUUUUUUUUUUUUUUUUCUAAGUAGGCUCCACACCCAGCGUGGAGCCCAGUGCAGGGCCUGAACUCACGACUCUGAGAUCAAGACCUGAGCUGAGAUCAAGAGUGGGACUCUUAACCAACCAAGCCAUGCAGGCAGGCGCCCCAUUACUGUGAUUCUUAUAACCAGCCUCCAGUGGGCAUUGGGACCCCCCUCAAUCUGCCUCCCUGUGUGGCUUGAGGGGGCAUCUGUGCCAUUCAGCUGACUGGAGGCGCCCAAGAGCUGUAGCUUUGCAACCAGAAGGCUCGGGUUUAGAUCCCGACUCUGCCACUUGCCGGCUGCGUAACCUUGGGCAAGUGACUCACCCUCUCUGGGUUUGAGUUUUCUCCAUCUGUGAAAAGCUGAUAACCACAGCAUCUCCUGGGGAGUGUUGUAACAAUUAAAUACACUUCAAAAAUCCUUA